CAGUUCAGGACACACAGGGAAUGGGACAAAUGGAGGAGCUAAUUUAUCUAAAAAUUUCUCGGCUACUGGAGGAUCAAGAUUGAUGGCGUUAUUUUCUACAAAAGCUCCUCUAAACAUUCUAACCUUCCUCCAAACUUCUGACGGCUUCUGAACAUUCAGAAUCCCACCAUGGAGGGCUGGGAAUAUUGAAUUUAGAGGACUUCUUACGUGGAAAUACUUCAUUAGCUAUAUUAAUUAUAAACUUGGCAAAAGCAUCAGAAGUUUUAAACAAAGUUUCACGAGAUACAUCAGGUAAUUCUCCCAACCUCUCAUCCAUAUGUUUGCGAAACUUAUCCCAAUCUGCAUUUUGAAGUUUAUAUGCUAACAGUGGAGAUCUUUUAUGUACUGGUUUGUUUCUAAAAGGAAAAGAAAUGACAAUUGGAAAAUGAUCACUGCCAUAGGAAAGUGGAAGUACCUCCCAUAGUAAGGAAUGUGCAAUGGAAGAGCUACAAAUUGAUAAGUCUAAUGCACUAGGAUUCUCAUUGGGAGCAGACCGACGUGUAGGAACACCAGAGUUCAAUAUACUAAAAUUAUAAUAAUCAA
This is a long non-coding RNA of Cydia fagiglandana, 582 nucleotides long. RefSeq lists it as uncharacterized. The record is from RefSeq and is a predicted model, not a curated record. The transcript is spliced from 2 exons. Lineage: Eukaryota; Metazoa; Arthropoda; Insecta; Lepidoptera; Tortricidae.